CUGGGCUUGACAUACACCGGAUCGGGCUAGAGAUAGUCUUUCCCUUUGUGGUUGGUGUACAGGUGGUGCAUGGUUGUCGUCAGCUCGUGUCGUGAGAUGUUGGGUUAAGUCCCGCAACGAGCGCAACCCUUGUCUUAUGUUGCCAGCAUUUGGUUGGGGACUCAUGAGAGACUGCCGGGGUCAACUCGGAGGAAGGUGGGGAUGACGUCAAAUCAUCAUGCCCCUUAUGUCCAGGGCUUCACACAUGCUACAAUGGUCGGUACAACGCGCAGCGACACUGUGAGGUGGAGCGAAUCGCUGAAAGCCGGCCUUAGUUCGGAUUGGGGUCUGCAACUCGACCCCAUGAAGUCGGAGUCGCUAGUAAUCGCAGAUCAGCAAUGCUGCGCAUU
This 389-nucleotide ribosomal RNA is filed under the name uncultured Corynebacterium sp. RNAcentral's name for it is "bacterial SSU rRNA". It matches the Rfam family "Bacterial small subunit ribosomal RNA", at positions 975 to 1363 of the family's 1533-position model. The record is from RNAcentral. Lineage: Bacteria; Bacillati; Actinomycetota; Actinomycetes; Mycobacteriales; Corynebacteriaceae.